ACCCAUUUGCACAUGUUCUUUCAUUUUCUUUUCCUUCCCAGUUGGAUCUGCCUGCCGUCAAGACUCACCACUUCCCACCUGUACACUGCUGUCUGUCCUCAUUUCAAGUGAAUCACCUUGCGGUCUUCUUAUGCCAGCAUCAGAGUCACAUUCUGGAGGAGACCUUGAUCAGAAACAAUCACCUCUACAAAGAACAUCAGCUCAGCUAAGCAGAGCAGCCUCUGUCCAGCAGAGCCAGGUAGGCCGGUCAACCUUUGUCUAGGGUUCAAUUUUAAUUUCACGUCUCCUCUCAGUUGACUUUGCUUCUCAGAUUAAUUUCCUUAUGUUUUAAAUUAAUUUAGAGCUCAAUUAGUUUGAUUUUUAAAGGGCAUGCAGUGGCUCCAAAGAGUCUCUUGGGAUCAAAACAAGUGAAAGCUCAACCUAAUAAAAUUAUGCCAUUUAUAGCAACUGUCCUCACAUGCUCCUUCUCCCCAAAGAAGGAAAUGGAAGAGAUGGGCCUUUAUUAGGAAGGCCAGAAGGCCAGGGCUCUACCAGAAACAAGAGGAAAGGCAUCCCAGAAGGCCGUGUCCCCUCAGUGG
This 578-nucleotide long non-coding RNA is filed under the name Pan troglodytes (chimpanzee). Its description in RNAcentral is "lncRNA (ENSPTRG00000054303.1)". The record is from RNAcentral. Lineage: Eukaryota; Metazoa; Chordata; Mammalia; Primates; Hominidae.